Long non-coding RNA from Panicum virgatum (switchgrass), 597 nucleotides. RefSeq lists it as uncharacterized. The record is from RefSeq and is a predicted model, not a curated record. The transcript has 2 exons. Lineage: Eukaryota; Viridiplantae; Streptophyta; Magnoliopsida; Poales; Poaceae.
GCCUUAUCCUCUAAUUGAAUCGAUCCCCAAUUCAGAUACGCAAACACCAUGACCUGAGGAGGCGCCGCCGCAAGGGCUUGCGAGCUCGCCGACGCGAGGGCUUGUGAGCUCGCCGAUGCGGAGCUCCUCCUCCACCGACCACCGCACCUUCGCCGCCGAUUGCCGCCGGUGCACAUCUUCCUCCUCCAGCUCGGGUCGAGCCGAGCAGAUCGCCGCCCCAUAGUCGCUUCCGACCAACUCCGACCGCCAUUCGACGUUUCCUUCCACGAGCACCUCCUCGAGCCCGGCCGAAUCGAGACCUCAAGCGCUCCCCCACUAGGCCCAUUCUCUGCUGCAGACUGAGCGCUGAUUCCGUCGCCAAGACCCCUCUCAAUCGCUCCUCGCUAAUCCCCUACAGCCCCAAGCAAACUGCAUCAGCUACACACGAGGUCGAGUUAGACCUACACAUCGUUGCAGCCAUCAUGAACAAGAGUUGGAUGAGAGCACUUAGGUAACUAGUUACAGAUAUGGAUACUAAACUGGGAACAUAUGAAAUGUUAAGUGAUUGAAAAUAACAGAUGGGAAUAUAUGAUCUUGUUGGUUCAUUUUCAAAUGCAA